RNAcentral lists this ribosomal RNA (330 nucleotides) under uncultured bacterium. Its description in RNAcentral is "bacterial SSU rRNA". It matches the Rfam family "Bacterial small subunit ribosomal RNA", at positions 568 to 898 of the family's 1533-position model. The record is from RNAcentral.
UGUGUAGGCGGUUGUUUAAGUUUGGUGUGAAAUCUCCCGGCUCAACUGGGAGGGUGCGCCGAAUACUGAAUGACUCGAGUGCGGGAGAGGAAAGUGGAAUUCCUGGUGUAGCGGUGAAAUGCGUAGAUAUCAGGAGGAACACCGGUGGUGUAGACGGCUUUCUGGACCGUAACUGACGCUGAAACACGAAAGCGUGGGUAGCAAACAGGAUUAGAUACCCUGGUAGUCCACGCCCUAAACGAUGCAUAUUUGGUGUGGGCAGUUCAUUCUGUCCGUGCCGGAGCUAACGCGUUAAAUAUGCCGCCUGGGGAGUACAGUCGCAAGGCUGAA